Molecule: non-coding RNA, 76 nt
Filed under: pig gut metagenome
Description: Glycine riboswitch
Rfam family: Glycine riboswitch aptamer
About the family: This family represents the bacterial glycine riboswitch.
Source: RNAcentral
CGGUCCGGGAGAGACCGCGCCCGGGCGCGGCGCCGAAGGGGCAGAGCGAAAACUCUCAGGCAGACGUACCGGACUG